GCCAAAUAAGAAAUUCAAUCCCAUUCACAACAGCCACAAAAAGAAUAAACAACCAAGGAAUACAGCUAAACAGGGAGGUUAAAGAUCUCUGCAAUGAGAAUUACAAGACACUGCUGAGAGGUUGCAGUGAGCUGAGAUUGUG
Long non-coding RNA from Sapajus apella (tufted capuchin), 142 nucleotides. RefSeq lists it as uncharacterized. The record is from RefSeq and is a predicted model, not a curated record. Lineage: Eukaryota; Metazoa; Chordata; Mammalia; Primates; Cebidae. The transcript is spliced from 3 exons.